UCUCCGUAGGUGAACCUGCGGAGGGAUCAUUACAGAGUUCGUGCCCUCGAGUGUGGUUCUCCCACCCUGUGUUAUUGCUACCUUUGUUGUUUUGGCGUUUCUCCCGGGGUUACCGGCACCGGCUUGUACGCGCCCGCAAGAGGAUCCCAAAUCCUGUACGUCAGUGUCGUCUGAGUACUAUACAAUAGUUAAAACUUUCAACAACGGAUCUCUUGGUUCUG
This 221-nucleotide unclassified non-coding RNA is filed under the name plant metagenome. RNAcentral's name for it is "partial contains small subunit ribosomal RNA, internal transcribed spacer 1, and 5.8S ribosomal RNA". The record is from RNAcentral.